GACCCUGCGCAGUGGCAAUAUCGUAACCAAUGAAGGUCUCCUGAGGUGCAAUUAUUACUAGUUGACAACUUUUAAAUG
RNAcentral lists this small nuclear RNA (78 nucleotides) under Rhodnius prolixus. RNAcentral describes it as "U4 spliceosomal RNA". It matches the Rfam family "U4 spliceosomal RNA", at positions 1 to 77 of the family's 138-position model. Rfam says of the family: U4 small nuclear RNA (U4 snRNA) is a component of the major U2-dependent spliceosome. The structure of U4 snRNA from yeast and human has been reported. U4 snRNA presents a k-turn RNA motif in the 5p-SL related to recognition of Snu13 protein. Lineage: Eukaryota; Metazoa; Arthropoda; Insecta; Hemiptera; Reduviidae. The record is from Rfam by way of RNAcentral.